RNAcentral lists this ribosomal RNA (467 nucleotides) under uncultured bacterium. RNAcentral's name for it is "partial 16S ribosomal RNA". It matches the Rfam family "Bacterial small subunit ribosomal RNA", at positions 38 to 507 of the family's 1533-position model. The record is from RNAcentral.
GGGGGGGGGGGGGGGGGGGGGGGGGAGGUGGGGGUCGGGCGGGGAGGGGCGAGCGUGCUGGAGUACUCGAGUGGCGAACGGGUGAGUAACACGUGGGUAAUCUGCCCUGCACUCUGGGAUAAGCCUGGGAAACUGGGUCUAAUACUGGAUAUGACCUUUCUCCUUAUGGGGUUUGGUGGAAAGUUUUUCGGUGUAGGAUGAGCCCGCGGCCUAUCAGCUUGUUGGUGGGGUGAUGGCCUACCAAGGCGACGACGGGUAGCCGGCCUGAGAGGGUGAUCGGCCACAUUGGGACUGAGAUACGGCCCAGACUCCUACGGGAGGCAGCAGUGGGGAAUAUUGCACAAUGGGCGGAAGCCUGAUGCAGCGACGCCGCGUGAGGGAUGACGGCCUUCGGGUUGUAAACCUCUUUCAGCAGGGACGAAGCGUAAGUGACGGUACCUGCAGAAGAAGCACCGGCUAACUAUGCG